CCCCCAGUUAGCUCUGCAAGGGUGGGCGGCACCGAUUUUCUCAGACCUGGCGAGGCAGGAAAACAUCCGAGAGAGAGAAGAGUGAACUAGGCCGAUCGCAGUGAAAACGUCAACGCCACAACCGCGUCUCCAGCUUCACAACCACCCGAUUCCCACGGCUUUCCUGCGUGCUGUGAAGCUCACACAACUCCCUUCAUCACUCACCGGUUGUCUGUGUCACUCACCGUCCCUCCGUCACCUUCGUUUUCUGGAAUGUAAUGAUCAUCGUGUUACUAUAUGCAAGUGUAUCUGCAUCUCCAGUAAAUUUUGGUCAUAAAAAGAGACCAAAUCACAUAGCCCCUCCCAGACUCAGUUAACAGCCUAGCAGAGAACAGCUUUCAAUGGGUCAGUAACUCAAUCCGAGUUGCUAUCUAAGGCCUAUGUUUGUUUCUGCCUUUGCAUGUUCCACCCAUCUUUCAGGUGAGAGCGCAUCAGAAUAUGAAACAUACUUGUUAGAUUUCCAUUGGUUUGGGGCCACUGGGGAACCAAGGAGGUUUACUCAUAAGAAUUAAAAUGUAGACUGUAUUAGAGAUGACAAUAGUAUUAACCAAAUGAAGACAAAGUGUUUAAAUAGAAAAGACAGCCAGGCGUGGUGGCUCACACCCGUAAUCCCAGCACUUUGUAUAAUCCUAGCAUGGGUGUAUAAUCCUGAGGCGGGUGGAUCACCUAAGGUUAGAAGUUCAAGACAAGCCUAUCCAACGUGGUGAAACCCUGUCUCUACUAAAAAUACAAAAAUUAGCUGGGCAUGGUUGCACAGGUCUGUAAUUCCAGCUACUUGGGAGUCUGAGUCACGCACACACUUGAACCUGGGAGGCAGAGGGUGCAGUGAGCCGUGAUUGCACCACUGCACUCCAGCCUGGGGGACAGAGCAAGACUCUGUCUCAGAAAGAAUAGAUAUUGGCAGGGCAUGAUGGUUUACGCCUGUAAUCCCAGCACUUUGGGAGGCUGAGGCAGGCCAAUCACCUGAGAUCAGGAGUUUGACAUCAGCCUGUCCCACAUGGUGAAACCCCAUCUCUAGGAAAAAUACAAAAAUUAGUGGGUGUGGUGGCACGUGCCUGUAAUCCCAGCUACUCGGGAGGCUGAGGCAGAAGAACUGUUGGAAUCUGGGAGGUGGAGGCUGCAGUGAGCCAAGAUCACACCAUUGCACUCCAGCCCAGGCCAACAUUGCACUCCAGCCUGGGCCAACAACAGUGAGACUCUGUCUCAAAAAGAAAAGAAAAGAAAAGAUAUUUAAAGUCAGAUGUGGUGGCACAUGCCUGUAAUCCCAGCCACUUGGGAGGCUGAGGCAGGAAGAUCUAUUGAGCACAGGAGUUCAAGUCCAGCCUAGACAAUGUAGAAUGUAGUGAGACCCUCUCUAAAAAAGAAAAGAUAUUUAAAAGUUUCAUUUUGGGCUGGAUUCGGUGGCUCACGCCUGUGGAGGCCGAGAUGGGUGGAUCACCUGAGGUCAGGAGUUCAAGACCAGCCUGGCCACCAUGGUGAAACCCCAUCUUUAAAAGAAAAAAAAAAGUUUCAUUUUAUGAUAUGAUAUAUUUGCCCUCUGUGAAAUGAAUAGAAACACAAACAUAUGCUAUAUUUUUAGUGUUAAACAUAUACUUAUGCUGAAAUAAAAAUUAGUUGCUCUUAGAAGGUGACAUUCUCCUGAAUCCUUGUAACCUUUAGGCAAAUCAGUUUUGGAACUGCAUUUAUACUCAGGUCAAUGUAGAAGUUUAACAGCUAUGCUCACAAAUAAGGCAAGGGCUGGAAAUGGUCAAGCAUCUCCUUCUGAAGCUGUCUUAGUCCUCCUGCCUUCAAAGACUCAUGUUGUGGCUUCGAUGGGGAGAAUACUGUUUGUACCUUGCACUUUUCAAUUUAUGAAGAGGAAGGUAAAGAGUAUUAAAAAAUUCGAUGCCAAUCUAGAUUAAUACACAAUUUAAAAUAAGUAGUGGAGUUCUGAGCACGCUAAAGGAUUUCUUAUAAUUGAAUUUAAGCAUUUGUUAAAUCUUACCUAAAUAAUUGGAAUACUCUGCAAAGGAAAACGAAAACACUGAUAGAAGACUUACUGUGAGCCGGCCUCUAUAACAACUUCUCAAAAAUCCGAAUCACAACACUGCGAGAACCCUCAUUUUCCAGAGGAAACAGGAACAGCGUGGGUGAGUCACUGGCCAGAGACUAAUGGCCCAGUUUGAAAGUGACAGAGGUGGGAUGUCAGUCCAGAGUUCGGCUCUGAGCCAGUGUCACUUUUUAGAUGUGAACCAUUCUGACGGGUGUGCACUGAUAUUCUAUUUUAUUUCACUUAGCAUUUCCAAAUGACACGGCUCUUCAUGUGCUUGUCAUCUGCAUCUGCUCUCACGUCCUUUGCUCAUUGUCUAAUUGGAUUUUCGAAUUUACUAUUGUUGAGAGCGCUUUAUAUAUUCUAGAUAGGAGUCCUUUGUGGCCGAUGUGGUUUACAAAUACUGUCUAACAUUCUUUCCUGUCACAACAUCUUCUCACUCAUGUUUCUAACCCACCAGCCUGGAGAUAGACUGGGGGGACACGGAGCCCAGAUUGCGUCUCAUUAUUUGUGAGCAGGUCUCAGCGCAGAGUCCACUUCAGCCUCAUCAGUGAACCGUCCAACCCUAAACUCGAUGUCAUCUUUUGUGUACCCCAUAUUUAGUUAGCAUUCUUGGUAAUGGUAACAAGUUUGUUUUUAAAUUUUCUUACAAUAAAACAUAACACCAGACAUGUUUAAGGAAUCCGGUGUUUUAAUGUAUAAGAAAUGCUAGUCAAGGUGUUGUAUUCUUUAUUCCCUUUAACUCACCCAACCAAUGGAAGGUAUUGCCGUUAUCUUUAUGUCUCAGAUGAAGAAACCUAGGCCUGAAAAGUUUAAGUAAGUAGCCCAGGUGACAUGGCAACAAGAACGAGACGUGUCUCAGGUAUGAAUCAUUCCAGAGACUCUUAGUUGCCAGUCAAUAUUGUCUCUUUUACAUUAGAUUUUGUCACAAAAGUAUUUGGCUUUUUAAGAAAUCGUGAAGUUGCUAUGUGUCAUUUACCAGAAGAAGGCCUGAGAGAAGUGCUAUUGAAAACACUGGAUGGGCCGGGCACAGAGGCUCACGCCUGUCAUCCCAGCACUCGGAGGCCAAGGCGAGAUUGCUUGAGUCCAGAAGUUUGAGACCAGCCUCGGAAAAACAGAGAGACUCCCCUCUACAAAAAAAAUAAUUAGUCAGGUGUGGUGGUACACUCCUAUAGUCCCAGCAACUUGAGAGGCUGAGGUGGGAGGAUCACUUUGAGCCCAGGAGGUCAGGGCUACAGCAAGCCAUGGUGAUGCCACUGCCCUCCAGCCAGGCAACAGAGCAAAACCCUGUCUCUAAAACAACCAGAAAUCCCAACUCCAACUCCACCCAUGAUGGAAUAAGAGAUUGAAUUUGCCCUCAGGUCUAGUUUAACAAAGAAGCUCAAAAGUAAGCCUAAAAAGGAUCAAACAGAUUUCAAGUAAUUUAACUGAAAUAUUUUUUGGAAUACCAAAAAGUCCAACACUUAAUUACAUAAAAUUGGCAACAGUGGCAUCUAUUCAUAAAUUACUAGGCACAGAAAGCACUAAAACCUAUCCCAAUGCCAAGCAGGGGAGGAAAAAACAGACACAGACCUGGAAGUGAUGCAGGUAAUAGAAUCAGCAAAGGCUGAAACGCAGUUAUUAAGAAUAGACUUCACAUGCUCAAGAAGGUUAGAGAAAAGCAGGAGCCUGGUGAGGAAAGAAGGAAUAUGUGAAAAGGUCCAAAUUAAACUUGUAGAGAUUAAAAAUACAGAGACUGGGCACAGUGGCUCACACCUAUAAUCCUAGCACUUUGGGAGGCCGAGGUGGGCAAAUCACCCGAGGAGUUUGAGACCUGUCCGACCUACCCUCUGCGGGAAGACUGAGCUCGUUCGGAAAAAACCGGACCGCAGGCUAGAGGAAAUUCCUUAAGUUCAGGCUUUAUUGAGAGGAAAGAGCCUCCGGGCGGACCAGCCGGGAGGAAGAGGAGAAUGGCCGCGCCGCUCAGAGGAGCAGGGUUGUUUUAUAGGGGGCUGAAGGGCUGGGGGGUGGGGAAGCCAAAAGCCGAGGUGGUGGGCAACUGUUGGUCAGUUUGAACUGCUGGGCGGGAAGCUGGGCGGCGGGAAGCUGGGCGGCGGGAGGGCUAGGGACGGUAUGUAAAGUGAGAGAUAAGGGAGCCUCUUUGUGGGGGAGGGAAAGAGAGAGAGAGACCUUUUGCGGUAGGGGCAGAGUUUUCCAAACAAGACCAGCCUGGCCAACAUGGUGAAACCGUGUCUCUACUAAAAAUACAAAAGAAUUAGGCGGGCAUGGUGGCAGGUGUCUGAAAUCCCGGCUACUUGAAAGAAUGAAGCAGAAUUGCUUGAACCCAGGAAGUGGAGGUUACAGUGAGCCAAGAUCACGCCCUCUGCACUCCAGCCUGGGUGACAGAGCCAGACUCCAUUCAAAAAAAAAAGAAAGAAAAGAAAAAUAUCAUAUCUGAGAUGAAGAAUACACCAGAUAGGGUAAACAGCAGAUAAGACACUGCAGAAAAAAGACGUAAAACUGAAGACGAAGCAACUGAAACUGACCGAAAUGAACAGAAGAAAAAUACCUGAAAAAUGAAAAGAGGAACAUAACCUGGCUUAAAAUGCAUCACACAUACAAUUAGAGUCUCUGGAAGGAGGGGUGGGAGUUCAGACAAAAAAAAUUUUUCUUUUUUUUGAGAUGGAGUUUCUCUCGUUACCCAGGCUGGAGUGCAAUGGCGGGAUCUCGGCUCACUACAACUUCCACCUCCUGGGUUCAAGCAAUUCUCCUGCCUCAGCCUCCUGAGUAGCUGGGACUACAGGCACGCGCCACCGUGCCCAGCUAAUUUUUUGUAUUUUUAGUAGAGAUGGGGUUUCACCAUGUUGACCAGGAUGGUCUCGAUCUCUUGACCUCGUGAUCCACCCGCCUUGGCCUCCUAAAGUGCUGGGAUUACAGGCAUGAGCCACCGUGCCCGGUCCCCCCCAAAAUUUUUUAAAAUGGCUGAAUAUUUAUCAAAUAUAAGGAAAACUAUAAGCCAAUAGAUCGAAAACAAAACAAAACUCACGAAACCCAAAAUCAAAGAAACAGAAAAACGCAACCAGGUACAUCUCACUAAGCAGCAAAUGGCGGCCAGGCACAGUGGCUCACACCUGUGAUCCCAGCAUUUUGGGAGGCUGAGGUGAGAGAACUGCUUGAGCCCAGGAGUUUGAGACCAGCCUGGGCAACACAGGGAGAUCUCAUCUCUACAAAAAAUAAAAAAGUAGCUAGGAGUGGUGGCGUGCGCCCAUGGUCCUAAUCGCUUGGGAUGCUGAGGUGGGAAUAUCUCCAGCCUAGGAGUUUGAGGCUGCAGUGAGCUUGGAUGGCACCACUGCACUGUGGCGUGGGUGACAGAGGGAGACCCUGUCUGAAACGAACAAAAUAUAGAUGGCAAAUUACCACAUAUAUAAAGAUAUUCACAAGUAUUAGCCAGCGGAGAAGUGCAAAUCAAAAUCGCAGAGAAACCACUGCAUACCGACUAAAUGCUAAAAUUAAAAAGACUUCCAACACCAAAUGCUGGCGAAGAUACAAAACAACUGUAACUCUCACAUUCCUGGUGGGAAUGCAAAAUGAUACAUCCACUUUGGAAAAACAGUCUAACAGUCUUGUAUAAACUUAAAUACUUGCCAUAUGACUCAGCUGUCCCACUCUUAGAUAUUUUGUCAAGAGAAAUAAAUUGGUAAGUUCACGCAAAGCAGAUCUUCAAAGCAGCUUUGCUCACAAUGACCAAAAGCUGGAAACAUCCAGUGUCUAUCAGCAGAUGGGUGAAUAGACACAUGGCAGUGUAGCCAUUCCAAGGAUUUGGUGUUUGUUAUCAAAGACCAGCAGGAGGGCAGAAGAAUCACAAAAGCUUUAUGCUACGUGAAAGAUAAAAGCACUCUCCUUGCCCUAUUCAAGGUUACGUACUUAUAUGAUCACACUUGUAUGAAAUUUGAAAAAAAUGCCAGGAGUGGUGGCUUUUAAUCCCACCUACUCUGGAGGCUGAAGCACGAGGAUUGCUUGAGCCCAGAAGUUCAGGGCUGCAGUGAGCUCUAUCAUGCCACUGCCUAAGCCUGGGCAACAGAAAAAGACCCUGUUUCCAAAAAAAAAAAAAAUUAUGGAAAAGGAAAAACUAGUGGCAGAAAACAGACAAGUAGGUUCCAGGAGUAGAGGAGAUUUGCUUAAAAUGGGACAAUGGAACUUUUCAGAGUGAUGGUAAUAUUUUAUAUCACAAUUUGGGUGGUAAUCACAUGGUCAAAACAUGCCUGCAAUCCCAGCACUUUGGGAGGCUGAGGUGGGCAGGUCACCUGAGGGCAGGAGUUUGAGACCAGCCUGAUCCACAUGGUGAAACCCCAUCUUUUUCAAAAAAAAAAAAAAAAGCAAACACACCAAAUUACUUAUAAUUAUACACUUGAAAGUUUUAUUUCUUGUAAAUUAUAGCUCACCAGAGUGUGAGGAUAUUCUGGAAGCUUUGAUUAAAGCAGUAAUAUAGAGAAAGUCAGCGUAGGAAGCUGAGAUCUAUGAUAAGGACCGCCAGUGGCAAGAAGUACUAGUGAGAUGUUGAGCGUUAGGUAAGCUUGCGAGGGUGCAGCGGGGUUUGUUCACCUCCAGGGUGAUGAAGAAAGGCACUGGGUAGAGUUCUUAGGAGAAUUGCAAGUAAAUCAUGACAGUAAAGCAAACGUUGAGAAAGACGGAAAUGCACAGACAGACACUGGAAGCCCAUGACCGCAGUAAAUGCUUGAACUGCUGCCUUAGGCGCAUUUCCUUCCAAUGUGCUUUCCCAGGAGUGCUCACAAUCAUUUGAAGGAAAACAUUUAGCUGCUCGGGAGGCUGAGACAGGAGAAUCGCUGGAACCUAGGAGGCAGAGGUGGAGUGAGAUAGUGGCACUGCACUCCAGCCCAAACAGUGGGUGGCUUUGUUUCAAAAACACAUUUGAUUAAACUUCAAACACGACAGUGUUUGAGUAAAUACAUCACCUUUUUUAAGACACUAGUCAGUCAAGGAUAAGGAUUAAAUUAGCAUCUCGUUUCUUAGAUAAAACUGGACAGGAUUUCUUUUGGGACCAGUAAAUAAUUGCCAAGAACAAUUUCUUUCUUUCUUUUU
Non-coding RNA from Callithrix jacchus (white-tufted-ear marmoset), 7147 nucleotides. NCBI's taxonomy places the organism in Eukaryota, Metazoa, Chordata, Mammalia, Primates, Cebidae. The record is from RefSeq and is a predicted model, not a curated record.